AGGGUAUAUCUGCAAGUUGGAGUAGGAAGUAGGCUAUUUUUCUCGCUGCACUGGAAGUAGCAACUUGUUGUUAUCCCUGUCCCCGUGUUCGGAUCUUAUAAAUCAUUCUACGACAAUCACAAACCAUGAAGCCAAAGGAUUUUGCGAUAACCUGCUUUAUUUCCAUUCUCUUGAAUUGCUCAAUGAAAGGAUGUGGUUCAAGUUUGAAGUGCUGUUUUGAGAUUUUGAAGAACCACUCGGUUUCCUAUAAUCUUAGCGAGCCACCUGGAGCCUUGUGCACACCAACAUGGUCAGAAAUGGAAUUUGUUGUGGGUU
Non-coding RNA from Pimephales promelas (fathead minnow), 315 nucleotides. The record is from RefSeq and is a predicted model, not a curated record. Lineage: Eukaryota; Metazoa; Chordata; Actinopteri; Cypriniformes; Leuciscidae.